This is a long non-coding RNA of Drosophila biarmipes, 2530 nucleotides long. RefSeq lists it as uncharacterized. NCBI's taxonomy places the organism in Eukaryota, Metazoa, Arthropoda, Insecta, Diptera, Drosophilidae. The transcript is spliced from 3 exons. The record is from RefSeq and is a predicted model, not a curated record.
UACGGAAAAAUCCGACAUGAAAAUGGGCCAAAAUUUCGUCCCUCUUGUAAAAGGAAAAUUUAAAAGGAAAAUGUUAGAGAAUAUAACCACAAACUCAUAGAGGUAUCCCACAUCAAAAUCGGGUUGAAAUGAGUCAAGUUAUGAAAAGUCAAGGUGCAGUUUUUGGUGCCCUACUGAAAACCAUUGGAAAUACGGAAAAAUCCGACAUGAAAAUGGGCCAAAAUUUCGUCCCUCUUGUAAAAGGAAAAUUUAAAAGGAAAAUGUUAGAGAAUAUAACCACAAACUCAUAGAGGUAUCCCACAUCAAAAUCGGGUUGAAAUGAGUCAAGUUAUGAAAAGUCAAGGUGCAGUUUUUGGUGCCCUACUGAAAACCAUUGGAAAUACGGAAAAAUACGACAUGAAAAUGGGCCAAACUUUCGACCCGCUUGUAAAAGGAAAAUUUAAAUGUAGAAUGUUAGAGAAUUCAACCACAAACUCAUAGAGGUAUCCCACAUCAAAAUCGGGUUGAAAUGAGUCAAGUUAUGAAAAGUCAAGGUGCAGUUUUUGGUGCCCUACUGAAAACCAUUGGAAAUACGGAAAAAUACGACAUGAAAAUGGGCCAAACUUUCGACCCGCUUGUAAAAGGAAAAUUUAAAUGUAGAAUGUUAGAGAAUUCAACCACAAACUCAUAGAGGUAUCCCACAUCAAAAUCGGGUUGAAAUGAGUCAAGUUAUGAAAAGUCAAGGUGCAGUUUUUGGUGCCCUACUGAAAACCAUUGGAAAUACGGAAAAAUACGACAUGAAAAUGGGCCAAACUUUCGACCCGCUUGUAAAAGGAAAAUUUAAAUGUAGAAUGUUAGAGAAUUCAACCACAAACUCAUAGAGGUAUCCCACAUCAAAAUCGGGUUGAAACGAGUCAAGUUAUGAAAAGUCAAGGUGCAGUUUUUGGUGCCCUACUGAAAACCAUUGGAAAUACGGAAAAAUACGGCAUGAAAAUGGGUCAAACUUUCGACCCGCUUGUAAAAGGAAAAUUUAAAUGUAGAAUGUUAGAGAAUUCAACCACAAACUCAUAGAGGUAUCCCACAUCAAAAUCGGGUUGAAAUGAGUCAAGUUAUGAAAAGUCAAGGUGCAGUUUCUGGUGCCCUACUGAAAACCAUUGGAAAUACGGAAAAAUACGGCAUGAAAAUGGGUCAAACUUUCGACCCGCUUGUAAAAGGAAAAUUUAAAUGUAGAAUGUUAGAGAAUUCAACCACAAACUCAUAGAGGUAUCCCACAUCAAAAUCGGGUUGAAAUGAGUCAAGUUAUGAAAAGUCAAGGUGCAGUUUUUGGUGCCCUACUGAAAACCAUUGGAAAUACGGAAAAAUACGACAUGAAAAUGGGCCAAACUUUCGACCCGCUUGUAAAAGGAAAAUUUAAAUGUAGAAUGUUAGAGAAUUCAACCACAAACUCAUAGAGGUAUCCCACAUCAAAAUCGGGUUGAAAUGAGUCAAGUUAUGAAAAGUCAAGGUGCAGUUUUUGGUGCCCUACUGAAAACCAUUGGAAAUACGGAAAAAUACGACAUGAAAAUGGGCCAAACUUUCGACCCGCUUGUAAAAGGAAAAUUUAAAUGUAGAAUGUUAGAGAAUUCAACCACAAACUCAUAGAGGUAUCCCACAUCAAAAUCGGGUUGAAAUGAGUCAAGUUAUGAAAAGUCAAGGUGCAGUUUUUGGUGCCCUACUGAAAACCAUUGGAAAUACGGAAAAAUCCGACAUGAAAAUGGGCCAAAAUUUCGUCCCUCUUGUAAAAGGAAAAUUUAAAAGGAAAAUGUUAGAGAAUAUAACCACAAACUCAUAGAGGUAUCCCACAUCAAAAUCGGGUUGAAAUGAGUCAAGUUAUGAAAAGUCAAGGUGCAGUUUUUGGUGCCCUACUGAAAACCAUUGGAAAUACGGAAAAAUCCGACAUGAAAAUGGGCCAAAAUUUCGUCCCUCUUGUAAAAGGAAAAUUUAAAAGGAAAAUGUUAGAGAAUAUAACCACAAACUCAUAGAGGUAUCCCACAUCAAAAUCGGGUUGAAAUGAGUCAAGUUAUGAAAAGUCAAGGUGCAGUUUUUGGUGCCCUACUGAAAACCAUUGGAAAUACGGAAAAAUACGACAUGAAAAUGGGCCAAACUUUCGACCCGCUUGUAAAAGGAAAAUUUAAAUGUAGAAUGUUAGAGAAUUCAACCACAAACUCAUAGAGGUAUCCCACAUCAAAAUCGGGUUGAAACGAGUCAAGUUAUGAAAAGUCAAGGUGCAGUUUUUGGUGCCCUACUGAAAACCAUUGGAAAUACGGAAAAAUCCGACAUGAAAAUGGGCCAAAAUUUCGUCCCUCUUGUAAAAGGAAAAUUUAAAUGUAAAAUGUUAGAAUAUUGAACCACAAACUCAAAGAGGUAUCCCACAUAAAAAUCGCGUUGAAAUGAGUCAAGUUAUAGAAUUUAGAAGUGUAGUUUUGGGUGCCCUACUGAAGCCACUGGAAAUACGAAUAAUCCAACAUGAAAAUGGGCCAAAACCCAAAAACGUUAACCCUCUUUUUAAAGA